RNAcentral lists this long non-coding RNA (733 nucleotides) under Vitis vinifera (wine grape). Its description in RNAcentral is "long non-coding RNA (VVIN_LNC006508)". Lineage: Eukaryota; Viridiplantae; Streptophyta; Magnoliopsida; Vitales; Vitaceae. The record is from RNAcentral.
GUGAAUCCUAGACCAAAAUGUCACCCAAAAAGGAAAUCAAAAUUGAGACAGAAAACAGUAUAUAUAAAGUUAAACUGCUUAAGCAGAUAAUGGUGCAAGAAAGGACAUAGAACAAUCAUAAAGGAAUGUAAACCUUGCUGAUCGGUCACAUGAUCAGAAAAUAUCCCAAUGAGAAAGAAAGAAAAAAAAUAAAAAUUCAUCUUAAAUGCAUGUGAAUACAGGUUCUGGCCACUUCUUCAGCUUUACAGUCGUGUGGCUAGAAUCUCAGUAGCUUUCAUUUUCAUCCCCUUCUGUGGAUCUCCAUCAUAAACAAGCUUCUUUCCCAGUGGGUCCUGGCCUUCUUCCAAUUGAGAAGUCCAUCUCUAAUUGAAUGAGAAAGCCUUUGAUCUUCAACCGCAACAGCAUACAUCAACGGAGGUAGCUGGUGAGAUCUAGAAGUAGAAGGAUCCCUCCAAAUUGGGUGGGCCUAAGGUGACAGAGACACAACAUGCUUGAAACCACCAGCUCUCUAUGCUUUUAUCAUGGGUUGAAGAAAAGAUUGUCUGCAGGAAAAAUGGAUUCAUAUCUUGGGUGGUAGUAUAAGUGUAGCAAAGAGAAGAAGAAGAAGACCAAAGGUAGCAGUACGGCAAUGAUAAAAUCAGUAUUUCUUGGACCCCAUUGAGGCAUAUAUCCCAUGUGAAGGUAUGAAAAAUUUCACGUGGGAGUGUCCAGUUGGCUAGGCCAAUUGAUUGGG